RNAcentral lists this ribosomal RNA (433 nucleotides) under uncultured bacterium. RNAcentral's name for it is "partial 16S ribosomal RNA". It matches the Rfam family "Bacterial small subunit ribosomal RNA", at positions 29 to 507 of the family's 1533-position model. The record is from RNAcentral.
AGCGAACGCUGGCGGCAGGCUUAACACAUGCAAGUCGAGCGGGCCCUUCGGGGUCAGCGGCGGACGGGUGAGUAACGCGUGGGAACGUGCCUUCUGGUUCGGAAUAACUCAGGGAAACUUGAGCUAAUACCGGAUAUGCCCUUUUGGGGAAAGGUUUACUGCCGGAAGAUCGGCCCGCGUCUGAUUAGCUAGUUGGUGGGGUAACGGCCUACCAAGGCGACGAUCAGUAGCUGGUCUGAGAGGAUGAUCAGCCACACUGGGACUGAGACACGGCCCAGACUCCUACGGGAGGCAGCAGUGGGGAAUAUUGGACAAUGGGCGCAAGCCUGAUCCAGCCAUGCCGCGUGAGUGAUGAAGGCCUUAGGGUUGUAAAGCUCUUUUAUCCGGGACGAUAAUGACGGUACCGGAGGAAUAAGCCCCGGCUAACUUCGUG